This 567-nucleotide ribosomal RNA is filed under the name Paracercomonas compacta. RNAcentral's name for it is "eukaryotic LSU rRNA". The stretch from base 312 to 567 matches the Rfam family "Eukaryotic large subunit ribosomal RNA", at positions 1 to 250 of the family's 3401-position model. Lineage: Eukaryota; Cercozoa; Cercomonadida; Cercomonadidae. The record is from RNAcentral.
GGGUAUCCCUGAAAGCAUACCUCUCUGAGUAUCGUUUCACCACCACAUCGACGGCGUACUUUCGAGUACGUGUUUACAUGUCGGAAAAUGAGUUGUCUCAAUUGUUCUUGACGGGACGUAAUUGAGUCACUUGAAACGCAUCCCACUCCGUAAUCAGAUACGAUUCGAGUACACCCUAAAAAAGUGUUGCUUGACUAUUUGAUGUUCGAUAAUUGACCUUUGGUCAUUACACUAUCACAUCGAGUAGUAGUAACUGUUGUUACGAGUGAGUAAAACAAGGAACCCUAAAGGAUUCAUUUCCUUUUUGAUCUUGAUCUCAGAUGAAGUAAGAGAACCCGCCGAAUUUAAGCAUAUUAUUAAGCGGAGGAAAAGAAACUAACAAGGAUUCCCCUAGUAACGGCGAGUGAAGCGGGAAGAGCUCAAAGUUAAAAUCGGGGCACCUAGCGGUGCUUCCGACUUGUAAUCUAGAGACACUUUUUCAGCCUCGACCCGGGUAUAAAUCUUUUGAAACAAGGUGUCAUAGAGGGUGAGAAUCCCGUCUUUGACCCGGAGUUCGGGGCGUACGAA